This 915-nucleotide long non-coding RNA is filed under the name Mytilus galloprovincialis (Mediterranean mussel). Lineage: Eukaryota; Metazoa; Mollusca; Bivalvia; Mytilida; Mytilidae. The record is from RNAcentral.
UGGUAACGGCGGCCAUUUUAAAAAUUCCAAAGUCAACCUGCUGCUGCAAUUUGUUCUCACCAUAAUUAUAUACCAUCAUUUAACAUAAAAGUCUCUAGAAUAAUUUAACAUUGAUGUUCUGGAAUGUUCUAUGUUAAACAUUUCUCCUGUUUCCAUGGCAAUGGCAGCCAUUUCGGAAUUUCUAAGUAUUGUUGGUACCUCGGGGCCCCACCACAACAUUUGCAAAGUAUGUUCAUAAGGUUGGCUAUUAUAACGAAAGAGUUAGAAUUUUGAUUUUCUUUUACAUUUUUUUAGUUUCCAUGGUAACCGCGGCCAUCUUGCACAUUCCAAAGUCAGGUGCACAACUUCACAUGGUGGACAACAUUAUAGCAUAGUUCCAUCAAGAUUGGUCCAUCCCAUUUCCGAGAACUGUCUUGGACAAAAAGUGUGGAAGAAUAAAAAUAAUAAAAACUAGAUUUGUAAUUGCUAGCAAUAACGGAUGGCACCCUUCCCCUCAUUGCCAGGUGAGCGGCAGCCAUUUUGAAAAUUCCAAAGUCGAAGAAUGCAUUUACAGAUGUCUAGUAACAUUUUUGCAAAGUUUCAUUAAGUUUGAAGCAUUUUGAAAUUUUUGAUAUUUUUGCUAUUUCCAUGGUUACGGCGGCCAUUUUGAAAAUUUCAACUUCAAAAUGCAACUCCGCACAUGUCAGUCACUAUUCCUGUUAAGUUUCAUCCAGUUUGCAGCACUUUAUUUUUUUUGGAAAUUUUGAACAUUUGUGCUGCAACCAUGGUUACAGUAGAUAAUUCCAAAAUUCUAAAAGCGUACAUCUCAUUGCCACAUGUCAUGUUAUAUAUCAAUACAGUUUCAUUUACUUUGGUGCAAUACUCUCUGAGAAAAUGCUGAUUUUAUGCAUUUUUUCAUAGGGUCAAUGCAAAACU